ACUAAAAACUUAGCUCUACCUAAACUUAUGAAGAACAAAAAUUUUUAUAAAGAUUACAUAAAACAUUUUCCAAAUUUAGUAAAGGCGAUUAAAAAAUUUUCUGAAGCUAUAAAAAUAGUACCGAAAGGGAAAAGUGAAAUAAAACUGAAAUAAAUUUUAAGUAAAAAAAAGUAGAGAUUUAUCUCGUACCUUUUGCAUCAUGGUUUAACUAGUCUAAUUUAAGCAAAAUGAUUUACAGUUUUACUUCCCGAAACUAAGUGAGCUACUUCAGGGCAGCUUAAUGAGCUAACCCGUCUCUGUUGCAAAAGAGUGGGAUGACCCUUAAGUAGAGGUGAUAGGCCAAACGAACUUAGUGAUAGCUGGUUACUCAAGAAAAAGAUUUUAGUCUAACCUAAAGUUAUAUUUGAUUAUACAAAAUGAAAUACUUUAGAGCAAUUCAAAUAAGGUACAGCCUAUUUGAAACAGGAUACAACCUCAACCACUGGAUAAUAAAUUUUUACAUAACCAAGUUGGCCUAAAAGCAGCCACCUUCAAGAUAGCGUCAAAGCUCUAUUAUUUUUACAUGAAAUACCUUGUAUUAUAAUUAAUCCUUCAACCAUAUUGAGUAAUUCUAUAUUCCUAUAGAAACUAUUAUGUUAAAACUAGUAACAAGAAGAAGACCUUCUCUUUAAUAUAAGUGUAAAUCAGAAAGGACAAACCACUGAUAGUUAACACAUAUGAACAAACAUUAGCAACUCUACUAGAAAACCCUUAUGUUAUUUAUGUUAACCUAACACAAGAACAUUACAAGAAAGAUUAAAAGAAAAAGAAGGAACUCGGCAAACAUUAACCUCGCCUGUUUACCAAAAACAUCGCCUCUUGAUAAAAUUAUAAGAGGUCCAGCCUGCCCAGUGACCACCUGUUCAACGGCCGCGGUAUCCUAACCGUGCGAAGGUAGCGUAAUCACUUGUUCUUUAAAUAAGGACUAGUAUGAAUGGCACCACGAAGGUUACACUGUCUCCUUUUUUUAAUCAGUGAAACUAAUCUUCCCGUGAAGAAGCGGGAAUAAAAUUAUAAGACGAGAAGACCCUAUGGAGCUUUAAACUAUAUAUCAAUUGCUAUCUUAUUUCUUAAUUUCUGAAUUCUAAUAUCUACCCUAGCUUUAUGAAUAUAAGUUUUAGGUUGGGGUGACCGCGGAGUAAAAAACAACCUCCACAUUGAACGGGAUUUAUUUUUAACCCUGAACAACAAACUACAAUUUUAUGUACCAAUAAAAUGACAUCAAUUGACCCAAUAUUUUGAUCAACGAACCAAGUUACCCUAGGGAUAACAGCGCAAUCUACUUCAAGAGCCCCUAUCGACAAGUAGGUUUACGACCUCGAUGUUGGAUCAGGGUAUCCCAGUGGUGCAGCCGCUACUAAAGGUUCGUUUGUUCAACGAUUAAAACCCU
RNAcentral lists this ribosomal RNA (1429 nucleotides) under Sphaenorhynchus pauloalvini. RNAcentral describes it as "partial 16S ribosomal RNA". It matches the Rfam family "Bacterial large subunit ribosomal RNA", at positions 157 to 2597 of the family's 2925-position model. Lineage: Eukaryota; Metazoa; Chordata; Amphibia; Anura; Hylidae. The record is from RNAcentral.